Molecule: long non-coding RNA, 383 nt
Filed under: Gallus gallus (chicken)
Lineage: Eukaryota; Metazoa; Chordata; Aves; Galliformes; Phasianidae
Description: lncRNA (ENSGALG00010006741.1)
Source: RNAcentral
CAAAAUGUACAGAGGAAUACUAUCAGCAUAACACAACCUUUUAUUUUAUUCAUUCCCAAAGGGUCUGAUCCUGAAAUCACAAAACCUUCUCUCCUGAACAUACCAUACUUGCGGGCAUUUGAAGACAGACUUCUGCUUUGAAGAGGGCUGUUGCUGCUUUCAUUUAAAAUAUGGAACUUUCAUGGAGGUGACCGCAGAGUGAAGGAGGAUGUGAAAUCUUUGCCAUCAUCCUGCAGAGGAUGGAUGAGAGGACGCCGAGCAGACAUAAAGUGGAAUUGACAUCUCAAAUUGGGAUUACCUAUUUUCCUCUACCAGAUAAUUGAUGGAAAGAUGCACAGUGAAGCAGGCCUUUCUGAAGCAUAUCACUCUGCAUCUGAGAGAGU